UUCCAUUUUUUUAAUGAAAGACAUCUUGGUUGCUACCAAGUUGGGGCAGUUAUUCAUAAAGGUGCUAUAAAUAUCUAUGUACAGGUUUUUGUGUGGACAUAAGUUUUCAAGUCCUCUGGGUGAAUACCAAGGAAAGCAAUUGUUGGAUCAUAU
Long non-coding RNA from Herpailurus yagouaroundi (jaguarundi), 153 nucleotides. RefSeq lists it as uncharacterized. The record is from RefSeq and is a predicted model, not a curated record. NCBI's taxonomy places the organism in Eukaryota, Metazoa, Chordata, Mammalia, Carnivora, Felidae. The transcript has 3 exons.